GACGAACGCUGGCGGCGUGCUUAACACAUGCAAGUCGAACGGAAAGGCCCUGCUUUCGUGGUGUUCUCGUGUCGCGCGCGGGUGUGUAACACGUGAGUACCCUGCCCUUCACUUUGGUAUAACUUGAGGAAACUGUGUCUAAUCCCGGAUAGGCGCUCCUGCUGCAUGGUGGGGGUUGGAAAGUUUCGUCGGUUGGGGAUGGACUCGCGGCUUAUCAGUUUGUUGGUGGGUUAGUGGCUUACCAAGGCGUUGACGGGUAGCCGGCCUGGGAGGGUGACCGGCAACAUUGGGACGGGGAUACGGCCCGGCCUCCUACGGGGGGAGGCAGGGGGGAAUAUGGCAAAAGGGGCGGAACCCGGUGGCAGCAACGCCGGGUGCGGAAUGACGGCCUUCGGGUGGAAAACCGUUUCGCCAGGGGCGAAAGCGUGUGUGACGGUAAUGGGUAAAGAAGCACCGGCUAACUACGUG
Molecule: ribosomal RNA, 468 nt
Filed under: uncultured bacterium
Lineage: Bacteria
Description: partial 16S ribosomal RNA
Rfam family: Bacterial small subunit ribosomal RNA
Source: RNAcentral